Vombatus ursinus (common wombat) is the source of this 367-nucleotide long non-coding RNA. RefSeq lists it as uncharacterized. Lineage: Eukaryota; Metazoa; Chordata; Mammalia; Diprotodontia; Vombatidae. The transcript has 3 exons. The record is from RefSeq and is a predicted model, not a curated record.
UAUCUUUUUUUUUUCCCGUGUGGAUCACUUGGCUAAGCUCUUGAGUGUUUGUGUAUAUCAUUAAGGAAAAUGUAAUGUUUUAGGGCUUGGUGCAAUCAACACAAGAUCAUCAGCAGAGGAACAUCUGGAGCACCUUAUUUAAAGGGAAUCCCUUUUUUCCAUUUUGACUGCACUGGACAUCCUUCAUGAUUGUGAAAACACAUUUGACAGAAGUAGAAACAAACUUGAGACUGCCUACUACUGCCCCAAGUUUCCCCUGCCUGAAUGAAGGCCAGGAAUCCUUGGAAGGACUCACAAGAAGCUCUGAUAGAUGAAGAAACUAAAGCCAUCUAUAGUCAUAUGAAAAAAUGCUCUAAAUCGCUAUUGA